UUUCUCAGAAGAAUAUAUGCAACAACUCCAUACAAGCAUUUGCCAUAUAGAAGGCCUCUGUGCAUCAACAACUCCAUUUGUGAUUAAUUGUGCAUGGCAAGUAGCAUCAGCUCCAUUCAUAGAAUUAAAAGGAAUAGGCAAAGCAUGUUGAGGCAAAGCAUGUUGAAGCGAAGCAUGACUAAUCAUAUCAAUCUUUGUCAUUUGAUUAUUCAGCUAUAAAUCUGAUUCCUACACACAAAUCUACAUGUAUGGCUCUAAAGUUCAGAGCAAUGAGCAAGCAAGUCUCUUUCAGUCCACAAAUUGACAUAUUCAGCACGACACAACAUGACUUGUAUUUACAUUGACAACCAGCAUCUUGGACUUCCAACGGUAAACAAAGCUUAGCAUGAAGUAGAAGCCCUAGGCUGCUUGCAACCAUGCUCUGGUAUUAGAUUUUCGGAGGCAGCUCUCUUUGGUCUUAACUGUAAAAAGAAUGCCAGUGAGAGUCUAGAAGUAGUGUGAAACAUUAAAUAUGUAACAUCAGCGUUUAAUUAUUAACCUUCUCUUCAGCUCGCUCAUAGAAGUUUCUCAGAAGAAUAUUUUUGGCUUCAGUAGUUAUCACUGCCAAGAUGAUUUUCAGACAAAUGAGUAACAAAUGAGGAAAUUGUCUUGAGAUUACUGAAUACCAAGAACUGUAUUACAAAAACAAAAUUAGAAAAGUGCAACCAACCAACUUGCUUAAGUUUUUGAAAUCUAGACACCACCUCUGUAGCACAAGCUUUUCAGAAUGUCCUUACAGUAUCCACAAUGACAAAAGUUAAUAAAGGUCUUUACAAUGUCCGGGUUGCAACCCACAUUGAUAAGCAACUCAUGGAGGCAAAAGGCAUGCAGAUUACAGGGAGCCAAACUGGUUCUGUCCGGUAAUGAAUGUAUGUGAAAUUGUGAAUCCCAUAUUGAUCUCAAAACACAUCUCCCUAGCAUUAAAUUAAAUGAAUGCAUCAGCUUCAUUUAUGCGGUUAUAUGCAUCCAAGGUUGCAGCUUCAUACAUAUAAUGGAGCUUGCAAACUGGUUACAACUCCAGAGGCUAGUGUCAAGCAUCACAAUGCUCGAGCUUGGCUGUUUGAUCCAAGCUGAGCUUGAGUUCAACUCGAGCAUAUCAUUGAACUCAAAAGAUUAAUCAAGGUUGGUUUCUUAAUGUUUCAAUUGAGCUCAAGUCACUUCACAUGAUUAACCAACUAAGAAAGAUAAUUUCUUUCAAUAUAAUUUUUAUCUUAUCAUAACAUUUAUAACAAAAUAAUUCAUUUUAAUAGCCAUUUUAUAUGUUCAUAAUUUAUUUAUUACUGAAUUAGAUGUUUAUUUUCUAAUAGUUUUUACGAAACCUUUUUCCUUUUAAAGUAACUUUUAUGAUAUCUUAAAUAGAGUAAUACUUGUAGUAAAAUUAUUAUAAAAUAAUCAUGCUAAAAAAAAAUUUCUGAGUUGAUCAUGAGCUUUUGAGCCAAGCUUAAAAUGUAGAAAAUUUUUAUUACAAAAUAAUAGUGCUUUAUUGUUUCGUUAAAGAAUGAGCCUGAAUGAGCAUCAAGUCAAACUCAAACCAAGCUCAAGUAACUUGGAUAAAGUUUUACAGCACUUGGUUUCUUUUGCACUCAAACUGUUACUAGAGUUGAACUUUCUUUUGAACAAUUCUAUUCUUAAUACGUGAAAAGAAGAAGCAUUCUGGAUGACAAGAACAUGCUUUAAUGCUACUUUAGCUUUACAAUGCUUUCACACAAAAGAGACUGUCAUAUCUGCAUAAAGUUGUAUAAUAUGACUUGACAGAAAGAAGUUAAUAGAUAGAUCAUAGAUGAAGUUGAAAAUCGUUUGCAUUUAACAUAUAGAACCUAUUCUCACACAAAUACACACUCAUGAAAUAUCACCACACAAAAAAAUCUAGCCAAAGUAUUCAAAUGCCAUCACAUGCCAAACAAGUCUUCCUUAUCUUUAUGGGAAAAAAAGUUUCCUGAAGAUGAAAAUUGGAAAGUUCUGUUUCUUACCUUGAUCAGGUGGUGGAAGAGUACGGUUGUGAGUAGGAUGAUAAGUAGCAGGAGUCAUUUUCUACAGAAAAGCACAAAAAAUUAAUAUAAUUCUAAAUAAGGAUGAAGAUGCCUUCCAUUCUCAGAAUAAGAACCAUAGUGCAAACUGCCAUAGCAUACCAGCCUCACCCUGGAACUUGUAAGCACUAGAGUAUAUCAUACAGGGCACCAUCACUUUAGAGAUUUCCGAAUUGAUAAGACCAAUUCUAAUGGCCACCACCAAUCCAACUAUGUAAUCAUUGAAGCUCAGCGAAGAAUGAUAGUCACAAAAUUAAUAAUGCACAAACAAAAGUUCACACAAGCGCCUACAUGCUUAUGUGUUGUUGUAAAAGGAGACUUUCAGCUUGGCACAGGUAUGUCUACAUGUAAAUGGCAGUAUUGUGAUAUUCAUUCUGUUUCUUAUUAUAUAAGCGAGCAGGGCUCCUCUAUGAUUUUUUUAUUUCAAAAAAUUUUACUUUACAAAUUUGCUAUUAUGGCAUCAAAAGCAAUUUUUUGCCUCAGCCAGAGAAGCUGCCAAAUGAGUCCUAGCUUGUUUCCAAAAAUCAACAAUACAUAUGAGAGAAUUCACAUUCGAAAAGGGAUUUACCUGAUUAUCUACACAAAUAAUCUACAAAACUCAUUAACUAUGGUAUAUAUCAAAAUUUUUGAACUUUAUAGUUGAUGGACCAUCAGUUUAUAUAUUAAAAGAGCUAAUGCUUCAUAUGCUGGCCAGAAAAUAUUUAUAUUUCACUCGAGAGAAAUAAAGCAAAAAAAUUAUUUUCGAGAAUGUGAAAACAAUGGGAAAGCAGAAGGAAUAAGAUUAAGGAUCGGGUAAGCAAAGAAAUAGUGGGUGGAUAUCUUUCUAUUUCACUUCAUUUACAUACUUACCUUUAAAGUUACUAUGGUACCGAAAUUAUCAAGCAAAUCUAGUUGGCUAUGGGCCAUAAUCAAUGACAGAGCUUGAAUAUAAGAAACAAUGAGGCAUUGCAUAAUUCAUUUGACUGAAUAAUAAUAUCGUAAAAAUGAACUAAACUAAUGUACUUGGCCAAUGAAUAAUUGGAAUCUAAAGUCUACUUGGCAAGGUGAACAUAUAGAAUGCAGAAGAUGUUUCUGCGCUUUAAACUGUUGAUAGCUUAAUUUAGCAAUACCAGCCUUUCCAAACCAACACAGGCACACAUAGAAAAAUCCCAAUCUCAGCAAUGGAUCUGUACAUUAUCUUGAAUAAAUGCAGCCAAUAAUUACAUGCUACAUUUGACAUCCAUUAAUAUUCAAAUCACGAUUUUCCAAUUGCAGUUCAAUUUAGGUAAGACCUCAUCACAACUGCUUGGGGCUAAAAGGGAGGUAAUUUCGUAAAGAUCUAAUUUUGAAGCCGUCGCAUUAUCACAAAGAUAUAAUCCUAUCUCAUCAACUCACAAUCUACAUGUCUAAUUAUGCGUGUGAUACAAAUGCCAAACUAAGUAAAAUUAACAAAAAAAUUGAAGAGCAAUACUACAUUUUGAACAGCCCAAAACUUUUUCAACUUACAUCUACGGCAGGUAAACCCAAUCUAAAAAUGAAAAGAUAACUACACAAAUCCUGAAGUUGAACGUACUAUCCUAAUAGGACCAAACAAAUUCCUAAUCAGACCCCAUUAACAUACUUAAGCUAAGUAAACCCAGAAACCCAAUCUAAAAAUGGGAUCAAAAAGUAUCAUCAAAAUGUAUUUUUUAUUUUCCCACGGUUGAACUCAAGCUAAAACCUUAUCUAGGAGGCACAAAACUCAGCAUAGAAUUAAGAGAAACUAGACGGAUCAUUUAAAAAAAAAAAAUAGAGAUGAUGAUUGGAGGAGCUUAAAAUUAUAGAUAGGGAGCAACAGCAUAAUACAUACCGAUGGAUUGGAAGGAUCAGUGGGUCUAUGCUCGGUGACUGGCCUUCCUUUGACCCUCACAACUUUAGCCAACUUAGACC
RNAcentral lists this unclassified non-coding RNA (3974 nucleotides) under Hevea brasiliensis (rubber tree). Lineage: Eukaryota; Viridiplantae; Streptophyta; Magnoliopsida; Malpighiales; Euphorbiaceae. The record is from RNAcentral.